UCCCUGCUGGCUCAGACUGUCAAGAGUCUGCCUUCAAUGCAGGAGAUCUGGGUUCGAUCCCUGGGUUGGGAA
This 72-nucleotide transfer RNA is filed under the name Ovis aries (sheep). It matches the Rfam family "tRNA". From Rfam's summary of the family: Transfer RNA (tRNA) molecules are approximately 80 nucleotides in length. Their secondary structure includes four short double-helical elements and three loops (D, anti-codon, and T loops). Further hydrogen bonds mediate the characteristic L-shaped molecular structure. tRNAs have two regions of fundamental functional importance: the anti-codon, which is responsible for specific mRNA codon recognition, and the 3' end, to which the tRNAs corresponding amino acid is attached (by aminoacyl-tRNA synthetases). tRNAs cope with the degeneracy of the genetic code in two manners: having more than one tRNA (with a specific anti-codon) for a particular amino acid; and 'wobble' base-pairing, i.e. permitting non-standard base-pairing at the 3rd anti-codon position. The record is from Rfam by way of RNAcentral. Lineage: Eukaryota; Metazoa; Chordata; Mammalia; Artiodactyla; Bovidae.